RNAcentral lists this ribosomal RNA (425 nucleotides) under uncultured bacterium. RNAcentral describes it as "bacterial SSU rRNA". It matches the Rfam family "Bacterial small subunit ribosomal RNA", at positions 356 to 773 of the family's 1533-position model. The record is from RNAcentral.
GGGGAAUCUUCCGCAAUGGACGAAAGUCUGACGGAGCAACGCCGCGUGAGUGAAGAAGGUCUUCGGAUCGUAAAGCUCUGUCUUUUAGGGCGAACGAGCUAUAGGUGAAAAAUCUAUAGCAAUGACGGUACUAAAGGAGGAAGCCACGGCUAACUACGUGCCAGCAGCCGCGGUAAUACGUAGGUGGCAAGCGUUGUCCGGAAUUAUUGGGCGUAAAGAGCGCGUAGGCGGGAUAACAAGUCUAUCUUAAAAGUGCGGGGCUCAACCCCGUGAGGGGAUAGAAACUGUUAUUCUUGAGUGCAGGAGAGGGAAGUGGAAUUCCCAGUGUAGCGGUGAAAUGCGUAGAUAUUGGGAGGAACACCAGUGGCGAAGGCGGCUUUCUGGACUGUAUCUGACGCUGAGGCGCGAAAGCCAGGGGAGCGAAC